This 500-nucleotide ribosomal RNA is filed under the name uncultured bacterium. Its description in RNAcentral is "partial 16S ribosomal RNA". It matches the Rfam family "Bacterial small subunit ribosomal RNA", at positions 30 to 523 of the family's 1533-position model. The record is from RNAcentral.
AUUGAACGCUGGCGGAAUGCUUUACACAUGCAAGUCGAACGGCAGCACGGACUUCGGUCUGGUGGCGAGUGGCGAACGGGUGAGUAAUGUAUCGGAACGUGCCCAGUCGUGGGGGAUAACGUAGUGAAAAUUACGCUAAUACCGCAUACGAUCUAUGGAUGAAAGCGGGGGAUCGCAAGACCUCGCGCGAUUGGAGCGGCCGAUAUCAGAUUAGGUAGUUGGUGGGGUAAAGGCCCACCAAGCCAACGAUCUGUAGCUGGUCUGAGAGGACGACCAGCCCCACUGGAACUGAGACACGGGCCAGAGUCCUACGGGAGGCAGCAGUGGGGAAUUUUGGACAAUGGGCGAAAGCCUGAUCCAGCCAUUCCGCGUGCAGGAUGACGGCCCUCGGGUUGUAAACUGCUUUUGUACAGAACGAAAAGGUUUCUACUAAUACUAGGAGCUCAUGACGGUACUGUAAGAAUAAGCACCGGCUAACUACGUGCCAGCCGCCGCCGUAA